UUUAUGAGGUUUCAUAAAACCAUCAAAAAGACCGUUCUCUCAUCAUCAUCAUUGGGAGUUUAGUUGUCGGGAAAUCAAAGGAGACCACCGUUAAACCUUCUCUCUCUCACCCACACUCGGCUAGUUUUGACCGAUAAGCAUCUCAAUCGGUUUGGGUCGGGGGCUAAUGUGAACGUUGUUUCUUCAGUUG
Molecule: non-coding RNA, 190 nt
Organism: Caenorhabditis elegans
Lineage: Eukaryota; Metazoa; Nematoda; Chromadorea; Rhabditida; Rhabditidae
Source: Ensembl